Molecule: ribosomal RNA, 300 nt
Filed under: Escherichia coli
Lineage: Bacteria; Pseudomonadati; Pseudomonadota; Gammaproteobacteria; Enterobacterales; Enterobacteriaceae
Description: partial 16S ribosomal RNA
Rfam family: Bacterial small subunit ribosomal RNA
Source: RNAcentral
UUAAAUUGAAGAGUUUGAUCAUGGCUCAGAUUGAACGCUGGCGGCAGGCCUAACACAUGCAAGUCGAACGGUAACAGGAAUCAGCUUGCUGAUUCGCUGACGAGUGGCGGACGGGUGAGUAAUGUCUGGGAAACUGCCUGAUGGAGGGGGAUAACUACUGGAAACGGUAGCUAAUACCGCAUAACGUCGCAAGACCAAAGAGGGGGACCUUCGGGCCUCUUGCCAUCGGAUGUGCCCAGAUGGGAUUAGCUAGUAGGUGGGGUAACGGCUCACCUAGGCGACGAUCCCUAGCUGGUCUGA